CCGAGUCAGAAGAGAGCUAAAAUGGCGGAGGUUGUGAGUCCCUGCUUUGACUCUGUUUGCAAACUCUUGUUUCAUUGUUUAAGCGAUUAAAUCUCUCGAGUAGACGCUGUCUCUUUAGAUGCGAGGGCAAAAUAGCACUUUAUGGACUUCCACAGAGGACAUCAUGUUUAAUACGGUUCCGGAAAAAUCCAGUCAGAAGUUGUUCACGGAGUUUUCACAAUAACUGCUUCUCAUGAACCGAAGCUGGAUUUGCGCGACGUCUCCUCUUGAAAGUUGGAUUACUGUGCACUUCUGGAUCACAGGCUAUUCGCAGCUGGACACAUCCUUCUACACUGUAUGCAAACAUGCAACAUCAUUACACACAGUACAAGGAGUCAGACUGGCAUAUGAGGAGCAAAGGAACCCAGGCAGUAGCAUCGUUUCACAAUGUUUCCAUCACCAUCAUCAGUGGAUGCCUUUGCCGUCCGUAGCCUGAGAUUUCAGAUUUGCAGCAAAAAAAAUUUGAUUUUCUCAUUUAUUGGAAUGCUGUGCAGGUAUUUGUACCUUGCAGCCAUACAUUACAAUGUCACCAAGCCGUAACAAAAGCAGGAGAGGGAAAGUACAAGGCUAUGUUCCCAAAACACACAAGUGACAUACCUUAUGUGGAGGAUGUGAUCAGGCUUGUGUUUGAUGAGGUAUUUGAAGAUAAGCUGAAGGAAACCCCGAUUCCAAUGGACCUGGCAUCACAGUUUGAGAGACCUUCAAAGGAGGACGUGAUUGCAUGCCAUCUUCAGUGCAGGGGUCGUCGAAAGCCAAAAUUGUGACCGAUCUGAUCAGGAAGCUCCAAGCGUAUCUGGAGAACAACACACGACAGGAUGAUAACCUUAUAGUGUCGUCUUAAAUAGCACCAGCUGACAAAGCUUUGAUAUGCCAUUUAUCUGAAUAGAUAGCUGUAAGAAAUGAAUUGAACAAUUUUUGAA
Paramisgurnus dabryanus is the source of this 959-nucleotide non-coding RNA. NCBI's taxonomy places the organism in Eukaryota, Metazoa, Chordata, Actinopteri, Cypriniformes, Cobitidae. The record is from RefSeq and is a predicted model, not a curated record.